Molecule: ribosomal RNA, 406 nt
Filed under: uncultured bacterium
Lineage: Bacteria
Description: partial 16S ribosomal RNA
Rfam family: Bacterial small subunit ribosomal RNA
Source: RNAcentral
AUUGAACGCUGGCGGCAGGCCUAACACAUGCAAGUCGAACGAGUGGCGGACGGGUGAGUAAUGUCUGGGAAACUGCCCGAUGGAGGGGGAUAAAUACUGGAAACGGUAGCUAAUACCGCAUACCAUCGGAUGUGCCCAGAUGGGAUUAGCUAGUAGGGGGGGUAACGGCCCACCUGGGCGACGAUCCCUAGCUGGUCUGAGAGGAGGACAGGCCACACAGGAACUGAGACACGGUCCAGACUCCUACGGGAGGCAGCAUGGGGGAUUAUUGCACAAUGGGCGCAAGCCUGAUGCAGCCAUGCCGCGUGUAUGAAGAAGGCUUUCGGGUUGUAAAGUACUUUCAGCGGGGAGGCGUUACCCGCAGAAGAAGCACCGGCUAACUCCGUGCCAGCAGCCGCGGUAAUAC